GUCUGCCUUUUAAACUGGACAUUGAUGCCAGUGCUGUUGGGGUAGGAGCUGUUCUUCUACAGGAUGAUAAAGAUGGAAUAGAGCACCCUGAUGUACAACCAGAAUCAAAGACUUAUGCGGUGGGCUUUAGUCGUUCAGGAAUACAACCUUAAGAUCUGCCACAAGAAAGGGUCGGAGAAUGUGUUGGCAGAUGCUUUGUCACGUGCCCUUUAAGGUUUUUUAUUUUGUACAUUCCAAACAUUUAUGUUUGGACUUAGAAGGGUGGGGGUGUUACAUGCCUGCCAGGCUGUUUGUUUUUCUUUCCCCUCCCCCCUCCCCUUUGCUUCUACACAGGUAGCAGAAGCUGGGAUCCAUCUUCCCUUGAUUGAAUCUCUCCACCUUUGGACCAAUCAGGAUCCAGGGAGGUCCUAUAUAAGAAAGCCACUUAGAGAUCCUAGGCCCUCUCUUUUCCUUGGCUUGCUUGCUGCAUGGUUGUGUUCUGUGUGUCUAAUGGUCUGUGGUGGGAGUUAGUGGACAAGGUAAGGUUGGGGUACCCUGUACAUCUCAUCACGUAGGAAUAUUUUUGUUAAACACACUAGGUAAGUAGGUGGAUGCCACCCUUGUAAAGUUUUGGUGAAUCUUUUUGUUAGAUUAGUUAAGCAGGGUUUUUGUUUCAUUUGUUUUAUGUAGCUUAGACCGUAGGUAGGCCCUGUUUUUGUUUUAUUAUUUUCUUUGAUUUGGCGCCACCUAAUCGUCCCUUUCUCCCCCACCAUUUGUAUGAGUUCCUUGGGAUUUUCUGUAAACAAUAAAUCCCUGAUUUUUCUUUGCUAACAUUCA
This is a long non-coding RNA of Cyprinodon tularosa, 816 nucleotides long. RefSeq lists it as uncharacterized. The transcript has 2 exons. NCBI's taxonomy places the organism in Eukaryota, Metazoa, Chordata, Actinopteri, Cyprinodontiformes, Cyprinodontidae. The record is from RefSeq and is a predicted model, not a curated record.